Molecule: transfer RNA, 69 nt
Filed under: Ictidomys tridecemlineatus (thirteen-lined ground squirrel)
Lineage: Eukaryota; Metazoa; Chordata; Mammalia; Rodentia; Sciuridae
Description: Spermophilus tridecemlineatus (thirteen-lined ground squirrel) tRNA
Rfam family: tRNA
About the family: Transfer RNA (tRNA) molecules are approximately 80 nucleotides in length. Their secondary structure includes four short double-helical elements and three loops (D, anti-codon, and T loops). Further hydrogen bonds mediate the characteristic L-shaped molecular structure. tRNAs have two regions of fundamental functional importance: the anti-codon, which is responsible for specific mRNA codon recognition, and the 3' end, to which the tRNAs corresponding amino acid is attached (by aminoacyl-tRNA synthetases). tRNAs cope with the degeneracy of the genetic code in two manners: having more than one tRNA (with a specific anti-codon) for a particular amino acid; and 'wobble' base-pairing, i.e. permitting non-standard base-pairing at the 3rd anti-codon position.
Source: Rfam by way of RNAcentral
GGGGCUGUAGCUCAGUGGCAGAGCGCUUGCCUCUCAAGCAUGAGGCCAUAGGUUUGAUCCUCAGCACCA